This 253-nucleotide ribosomal RNA is filed under the name uncultured bacterium. RNAcentral's name for it is "partial 16S ribosomal RNA". It matches the Rfam family "Bacterial small subunit ribosomal RNA", at positions 524 to 776 of the family's 1533-position model. The record is from RNAcentral.
UACAGAGGUCUCAAGCGUUGUUCGGAUUCAUUGGGCGUAAAGGGUGCGUAGGCGGCGCGGUAAGUCGGGUGUGAAAUCUCGGGGCUUAACUCCGAAACUGCAUUCGAUACUGCCGUGCUUGAGGACUGGAGAGGAGACUGGAAUUUACGGUGUAGCGGUGAAAUGCGUAGAUAUCGUUUGGAACGCCAAUGGUGAAAACAGGUCGCUGGGAGUGUGCUGACGCUGAGACACGAAAGCCAGGGGAGCGAACGGG